Syngnathus typhle (broad-nosed pipefish) is the source of this 677-nucleotide long non-coding RNA. RefSeq lists it as uncharacterized. The transcript has 3 exons. The record is from RefSeq and is a predicted model, not a curated record. Lineage: Eukaryota; Metazoa; Chordata; Actinopteri; Syngnathiformes; Syngnathidae.
UUUCAUGGAGGCACAAAGUAAACAUAGACACCGGUACAUGCCAACUACCAGACGUGAGAAUGCAUUGGAAAAGAAUGCAAAAUCUUGCAAAGAGAUUUGAACAUUUAUUAAUAUGGACUGGAGACAAGAAUCAGAUAAAGACAAAGAUUCGCAGGUCUUUAUUCUCAAUUUGGAUUUCUGGCUGAAAAAUAUCGUCCAGGUCUGGCUCCAGAAGGGGACCACAUCUGGGACCUGUUUCUCAUGGGUGCCCCUGCCAGGGACAUAAAUCCCCACAAAUCUUGGGGAAGAAAAUAGACUCUGAGGUAUUGCAAGGCUAGUCUACUGCUGGAAGAUACUAGGCCAUCCUAAGACUCCAUGCUUCAUAUUGAUCUGUAUUUCAAAACAAGUCUCCUGAAGUAUGCAUCAUUUACUGUAAUCUCCCCUGAUGUAUGCAAAAGUUUGGGCACCCCUGAUCAUUUUCAAGAUUUUCCUUUAUAAAUCAUUGGUUGUUCGGAUGAACAAUUUCAGUUAAACAUAUCAUAUAGCAGACAAACACAGUAAUAUUUGAGAAAUGAAAUGAGAUUUACAGAAAAGUGUGCAAUCAUUACUUUAAAAAGGUAGGCAGGCGCAUAAAUUUGGGCACCCCACAGAAAAAUCCUGCUUUUGUAGAAAUAACAGCCUUUAAACGCUUCCAAUAU